Non-coding RNA from Gasterosteus aculeatus aculeatus (three-spined stickleback), 1382 nucleotides. The record is from RefSeq and is a predicted model, not a curated record. Lineage: Eukaryota; Metazoa; Chordata; Actinopteri; Perciformes; Gasterosteidae.
UGCGGCUGCAGUCCUUGGCAUGAGGACACUGGCCCAACCUCACGGACGUGCUGCUGCCUGCUGGGGAGGACACACAGCUGCAGUUGUGGAAGACCUGUCCUACUGUGUUCUUGCCGUAUCCACUGGAGCUGAGGCAGCCAGCCAUACACGGAGAGACAUAGGUGAUGCCACGGUCUGAGCACACAGGAUCCCACUCUUCUGCUGAACACGAGCAGUCUCUGUUACACUCUGAGAAGAGCGCGUCUCCAUCGGAGGAAAGACGCCGCGUUCUGCAAGGAAGGGCAGUGAGCGUGGCAGGAACAAGAAGGGAAUGCUGGAGAUGAGGAGGAGGACGGAGCACACCAUGAAGCCCAUCCACCAGGCGCCCACCCACCGGGCGUCUUUCGGAGUGAUAGUCACACUUUCUAUGUGCAGAAAAAGAGCCUUUGUGUAAGUGCACGGAGAGAGCAGGAAGCUUGAUGAGUGUUUGACUUUAUUUGGAAUUUCACUUAACUAACUUGUUCAGGUAGGUCUAUUGUUAGCUUGACACACCUUUUCACCUUCAGAAGCUGGCUGAUCAAAACCAGUUUGAACCAAAGCUCAAGCCAGAGUCACUAUGUCUGUUCCUCAAAAAUGCCACCAGAAAAGUUUCAGGCGUUUCAGUCUAGUGCCAACUUUUUGGUACAAGACAAACCAUAACUGCUGAAAAUACAUAUGCAAAAAAAAAGUACACUUACCAAUAUCAACAUAUCCAAAGUCAACGUAUAGUUUGGCAGUGUAGGAGCCGAGGAGGAAACCAAACAUGGGGCCCAGGAGAGUGAUAGUGUGGAGACAGGCUGUAAAUGGCAAACAUUUUCUACAAUUGGUUUAGAAAAUAGUAACUUUGGGAUAUCCCCAAUGGGAAUAGAUAUAGUAACAGUUAAGAAGACCUUGAUGCACUUGAAUAGACUUUGUUCUAUGUGUAAGUUUUAGGAAAUGUGUCAGUUGUAGGCGCUAACCUCUUCCAUCGAUACAUGGUCAUUUGUGAAAAUAGACAAUAAAGCAGAGUUUGCUUAAUGAACAUCAUUUGAUUGACAGGUAGCCUCAGCCAUUUUGUCCGGUCGUUUUUGUCUAAUAUUAACCCUUUAAAAUGUGUUUUCAGCUUAUAAAAGCCAAGUUUAACAUUGACAUAAUACCAACGUCUCAUUUAGCAUUUCAACCCUCCGGUGUCACUUUUGGUGAUAGAAUGUUUUAAGGACAAAAGGCAAAAAACAAUACGGAUGGAGUCUGCAAACCAAUGGGUGAAGUCACAGUGACUACAUCGGCUUCUUUUAGAGAGUCUAUUGUCAAUUUUUUAACAUUGUUUAUUACUUUCGAACCUUUUAAAACGAGUAGAAAUAUCUUACCUAUAUAGAAGGGGGAAU